Molecule: long non-coding RNA, 32882 nt
Filed under: Citrus x clementina
Lineage: Eukaryota; Viridiplantae; Streptophyta; Magnoliopsida; Sapindales; Rutaceae
Description: Citrus clementina (C. clementina) long non-coding RNA (CCLE_LNC003085)
Source: RNAcentral
GUGAGGUUGAUCGCGGAAAACAUGCACCUUCAUAUAUUUCCGUCAAUGAAUCCUGAUGGGUAUGCCCUCAAGAGGCUUGGUAAUGAAAACAAUACUGUUCUAAAUCGUGAUUUUCCAUACCAGGUGACUUCUUGCAACUUUGGUUUUCUUACAUCUUUUUUCAUGAAAACCAAAUUGAACCUUAAAAUUGUACUUCAUAAGUGAUUAGACUCUUCUGAGCAAGAAUUCACACAUUAAAUAGUAGGGUCCCUUUAGUUUCUUAUAACUUGAUUAACGAAUGACAGCUAUGAACCAACUAACAGAAAUACGAGAAAGUGGGCUCUUUCCAAAUUGAGUCAUAUCCUAAAUUGAGAGAAAAUAGGAACAAGUCCACUUAAAGUUUUUUUCUUUCAUUCUUAAAUGAUUUUAUCAAACCUUGAAGAAUUCUUCUGCUGUUCAGGAUUAUAAGGUGUACUUUAAAAAAAUUUCAAGUACUAUAUACCCAAAGUUGAAAUAUCUUGCACUUCAAGUGUUCAUCUGAUUCAGGAAACUAAAAUGUUAUAUGAUGGCUCUUUAAUAUAAUUUUAGUAAAAUGUUUUUUUCUUGCUUCUUAAAAAAUAAAAAUAAAUGAAAAAGAAAACUUUUAGUAGGGGGACAUCUCAAUCAAGACUCUGCUCAAAUGAUAGAGUUCAUAUCACCUAGUAGGGGGACAUUUCAGAUUUCACAACUAACUAUAUUGCUAGAUUUAUUUGGUUUUCUCUUUUUUGUCUGAUAUUGAAAAGGGGUCUCUGGGUUUGUAUGGUUUACUCUUUUAAUUUAAUGGUACAACGAAAUUUGACCAGUAUUAUGCUACAGUUCUUUCCUAUGAAUAAUGAUGAGGUGGCGUGUCAACCUGAAACAAGAGCAAUUAUGAGUUGGGUGCGACAGAUACCUUUUACAGCAUCAGCCAGUUCGAAUGGGAUAAUUUUUCCUAUUCAGUCUCUAAACUGAGUAAAAAGGUAGACAUGGUGUUGCUGGUUCUAUUCUAUCCAUGCUUGAUGCUUAUUCUUGUUCCUUUGAGCUGUGUUAAUUCCCUAAUACCUGCUAUAAUCAAAAGUCUGUUCACCAGAAAACAAUUUCCGGAGUGAAGUACCUGCAUUCUGAUAUUUGUUUUGUAACUUGCGAGAGAACCAGUUGAAGCAUGAGGAAUACUUGCUCAGUUUCCUUUGUUCUUUGGCUCUUCUUCUUUUUCUUAAUUACUUAAAUAUAAGAGAGGGGGGUAGUGCCUAGGAGGUAUAGAGUAUAGAAUGACUUAGAAACCAUAGGAGAGUUAAGAAACAACAAACUCAUAAAGGAAACUGUGUUGCUAAGAUGGUGAGUGCACAAGUUGAUUGUUCCACAUGAUGGAUGACUGAGAUGCACCACAAGUCUGGAAGUUAGUAAUUCUUAGUGAAUAUCAUUGGCAAAUUGUUGUUUCAUUAUGAGUGAAGCUAUUAAAUGGGUAUGGACUUUGACAUUGUCUAUCUGACAGGCUCACAUUACCUCUCAUGAAUGUUGAUUUGUCUAUUUGGUUAUAGAAGUGUUGGUUCAGAAGACUAUGCAUGAAAUUUGGAGACAAUGGUCCCUGAUUGUGGCUUUUGUUGUUUACAAGGUGCACUUGUUGCAAAUUAUCCAUGGGAUGGCACUCAAGAUAAAAGGUGAUUUUUUACAUUUAAGGCUCAGUAUUUUGACUUAUAACUUGAAUCGUUCUGUGUUCUACCUUAUUUUCCUUUUUUCUUGUUUACUUCAUGCAGUACUUUGUUACUGUUUGUCUAUCACAAAGUCAUGAGUUUAUUUAUCUACGGUAGGUUAGGUUAUCUUCAAAUAAGAUUUUAUUGCUUAUUUAAAGAGUCAUGUCAGUAUUUAAAGUUUUAAAAACACUCUAAUUAAAAAUCUUCAAAUUCCAUUCUAUUGUUAUGAUUGUUUGCUUGUCCAUGUGGUUGAUACUGUAGGUCUACAGUUAACCUAACUUUUGCUCAUAAUAUGAUCUUUAGGGUUGGGCAUUGGGUCGGUUCAGAUUGGUAUUAGUUACAAACUGAAAUUUUUGGUUCGGAUCGAUAUUGAUUCUACCGGGAAAAAAUGAAAACACCGAACCGUUACCAGACCAGAAAUGUUGGAUUCAGUUCCGGUUUGGUUUUUUGGUUCUAGACCUUAUUAAAAAUUAAAAAAAAUUGCUGCAAAAAUUUUAUUCUUUGCAUAUUUUAUCAUAUUUUUUCCAUGAUCUUUGUUAUAGUAGAUCAAAAACAAUAAAAAUUAGAUACCAAAGAAUAUUAUUAAAUUAUUAAUUCAAAAUAAAAUCUAAACAUAAUAAAAUUUAAAAAAAGAAAGCACAUAAUAAUUUUUUUCCCACCAGUACAACAAUACAAACUAAAAAAAAAAAGCAAAGAAAAACAAGUAAAAAAAAAAUUUGCAAAAGUUGAAAGGUGGAUGAUGAAUUCAUUAAGCAGCAGCGAACGGGAAGCAUAGUUGCAAACCCGACUGGGGAGAUUUGGGGUAAUGGUGUUCAGUGAUGGGGAAUUAUGGUUAUAUAUAUAUAUAUAUAUAUAUGUAUAGAUAUGUAUGUAUGUAUGUAUAUGUUAUGGUGUGUGCACAUGUAAUAAUAAUAAUAAUAAUAAUAAUGUUUUUUCACCUGUCAAUAAAUUUAAAAAAUAAUUUAUUUGUUUUUUAGGUUCAGUCUUUGGAUUUAAAAUUUAGAACCGAAAACUAAACUGGUAAUUUUUUUGUUCUGGUUCAGUUCUGCCCGCCCCUAAUUCAAACGAUUAAGUAUUUUCUUAUUUUUGCAAUAAUGAGGAAAUUUGGUUCUUUAGAUCCUCUCUGUAUCGUCAACAAUUAAUGGCACCUAAUCAUUGGUUCUAGCUUUUCAACGUUUUGGUAUAUUGAAUACAAUCCCUAUUUGCAUCUCUUUAUUAAUGACCUGUUAAAUCAAUUUUUGAGGUGGAUAACCUAUAGUAUUAAAUCAACUCAGAAGAAGUUCUAUUUGAGCAUUUCAGUGAAGUUUGUAUUACCUCUUAUUCUUAACUAUUUUUUCUGAAGAAAGUUUAAUUUGGACCAAUUUCAGGAGAUAUUAUUAUGGUUGUCUUGAUGAUGAAGCAUUCGGGUUCCUGGCUAGUGUAUACAGUUGCUCUCACUAUUACAUGUCUUUGAGCACGGAAUUUCAAGGAGGCAUUAUGAAUGGAGCUCUUGGUAUGACAGUGUAGAAUAAUUUAGUUAUCCAUAUAAUAUUAGAGAAGGGAAUUGAUGUGAAACUUGUUAAAGACUUAAUAUUCAUUCUUCUAGUCAUUUAACUGACAAACUAGUCAGAUUUACGAGUUCUCUCUUUCUCUCUCUGGCUCUUGGAUUCAAUUUCAUUUGUUUGAAAGUCUGGUGGUUGACUCAAGCAUAACCUGCUGCAGGUAUCUGAUAUAUGAUGGCUUGCAAGAUUGGAAUUAUAUAUCUGGUGGCUAUUUUGAGUUGACCUUGGAGAUUAGUGGAGAUUAGUGGGGACAAAUGGCCUAGCUCUGAUGAGGUGAGAAAUCUGUUUUUACCAUCUUCUCCUAAUAUCCAGUAAAUUUAAGCUUGGAUGAAGAAUUGCACUGGAGUGUCAAAAGACUCUGUCUGAUUCCCAGAAAACCUUUUUCUUUCAGUAAUAUCUUUGGGCAGAGACGUAGUAGAUAAUGAAACAAUCAGCUUGUCAUUGUCGUAUUUGCGUGAUAAGAUCAGAAUUUACUUGAUUUAUCUUUUCAUUAGGGGCCCUUGCGAUUAUCUUAACAUUCUAUUUGAUUGUAAGAAUUAGAAUGACAAUAUAUUAGUGCCCUUCCUGCUGUCAUAAAUGAUUCUCUUGGAGAUAAUAAGAUCUAAGGACAUACUUAGCUAUUCUGCAUUUUUUGUUUUUGAUUAAAUACAUGAAGAUACUUUUACUUCCUUAUUUUAACGUACAAAAAUUAUGCUUGUUUGUCAUAGUUCAUCAUUAUUGCUAUUCACCAUCAGCAAUAUGUUAGCAUUUUAAAUUGUUUGUCAGUUUGUAUUCAAUCAUUGCUUGCAUGUUUUGCUUUCACCAUCCGACUUUUCUUACCAGUUUGUGGUUUAUGAUGUAUAAGUUUGUAUUUGUAGAUGUUUGGCACGGGUAAUUUUUCUUUUGCACUGUUUUUCUUACUUUUAAGCCAUCUAGUUGCUUGCACCACAAGAGAAAAAAAAAAAAGCGUCAUCCAGUCAUAUGAGCUGUUUUCUUCUUUGUAUGCAGCUUCCUACUAUCUAGGAAUACAACAAAAUGAGCAUGCUUAAUCUUGUUGCGAGCCUCGUGAAGGUAGGCUUUGGCUUGCCUACUUUUUCUUCUCAUAUAGAGUUCUGUGAUAUUGUUUAUUCUUUUUGUUCUUGCAAUUACAUUGUAGGUUCUCUAAUAAUUACCAUGUAUAAUCUCAUUUUUUUCAUCAGCAGAAUCUUGCUUGUAAUUAACCAUUGAUUAUUGUCCUAAGAGUAUGGUUUUGGUCUUUAUUCCAAGGGAUAGAUGGAAGACUAUAAUCUCAAAUUUAUAAAGUAGCCAUAUCAAGUGUUUUGACAUUAUAAUGAAAUGUGACCUCUGUCUAUUUGGAUUGUACUUCCAUAGACUGGAGUUCGUGGGAGGAUCUUUUCAUCAGACAGUGGAACUGUGGAAGGCCAUUGCCUGGCUCAAUCACAAUCAAGGGAAAAAAUUACACGGUAUUUUCAUAAUUUUAUACUUGCAUGCAUGUUGUUUAUAUUUCUUGGUAUGCAUGUAAUUGUCUCUUUGAUUUAACUUGAUUGAUUUUGAAAUUAUUUUGGGCGGGUCAUUUAAAACUGGCUUGUCUCAGCUGUUUCCCCCCCAUAACCUGUACAUAAUACUCUGUGAACUAUGUUCUACAGGUUAAUGCUGGAAGAGCAGUUGCCGAUCACUAUCGACUGCUCACACCAGGCAAGAGAUAUGAAGGUAUAUAAAGUUAUCUUUCAGGAAUCGAUUUAUAAAAAAUUCUUGAUGCCUAUGGAAAUUUUCAAGAUAUUGUGAAAAUGACCAAAAUAGAAUGGUUGAUGGAGGUUAAUUUAGAAGUGCUGAUUAGAACUUCUCCUGAAAUGCUGAUACAUUUCAAAAUAUGAGUAAUAACAUUUUAUAUUGACUCUCCCCACUACUUGUAGAAUUAGUGCUAAUAAAUAAUUUUCUGACCCAAUCCUGAUAUGGUCUUGAACAAUUUGCUGCAGUUAUGGCCAGUAUGCCUGGGUACAAACCGAAGUCCACGAUCAUCUGGUUGGAAGAAACAGCUACAGCAGAUUUUAUUCCCAGAUAUCACACUCGAGGGUAAUACACUAGGAAGCAUUUGUGACUGAAGCUGUGAUGGUAAGACAAAGAUUGUCCUGCUGGAGUUUCUUUAGGGGUUUCACAUUGAAGUUUGUUUUGUUUUGAUUGUUAUUGCGGCAUUUGUUUGCUUUUUAUUAAAGAUGAGACUGAAAUUCACUCCUGGAAAACAAAAACAGUCAACAAAAGGGUCAGUUGUGGUAUAAGAAGGUCUUCGGUGAAAGUUAUGUGAAACCUAAUUGUAUAUUAUGUCAUUAUGUGCUAUUAAAAAGCAUAGUUAUAGUUUUCAUCUUAAUUUUUUGUGCCUAAUGAUUGCUUGUACUGGUUUCUUUUUGAGUUUGCCAUGGGCUCCUUAUAUGAUAUUGCUCUACGACUGAAAUGUUGAAAUGUUGAAACCUACUACAUCUUCCAUUCAACGCAAUUAAGUCAUUGUAUGUUGUUACAUGUUGUUGGUCUGUUGUUAUGAUAACAUUGAUGCCAAUAUGAGAUUAGAAUCAUUAUCUUAAAUAUGUUCUCAUGUCACAAUUAUCAGUUACUUCGCAAACAAUGCAAGUGUUCAAAAUAAGUGUGGAGGAUAAAUGUAUUUUAACAAAACUGUCAAAUGAGUGAUUAUUUUGAUGAGUUAAUGUGAUUUCAACCUUUUUAUUUUAAGAGUGAUGAUACAGUCAUAAACUCUUGUAUAAAUUUAUUUUGUACAAAUUGAUGUGGUAUUAAUUCAUUAGUUGAAUGAAAAUAUAAAAUAAAUUUAUACAAGAGUUUGUGAUUAUAUCAUUACUCAUAUUUUAAUAUUAGAACAUAAAAUUUAUAGCCUGAAUGAUGUGAUAUACUCAUGAGCUGUUAAUUUUAUAUAUUAAUGAGAGUACUGAUAUCUAUCCAUUAAAUGGAGACAGAAUUAAUGUUAAAAGUGUAUGGAAGUACCGUUAAUUCCAAAUAAAAAAAAAGAAAGUAAAUUUGUAUGAAAAUACCGUCAUUUGAAAAUAAUAAUGAAAAAAAAAUACUUUAAAACGUGUGAUUUUACUAAUAUUUCUUUUGUAGCUCUCUAACCCUCUACGUGUGAAAAUUAUUUUUCUUAAUAAUAUAAAAAAAGAUCAGUUAUAGUCUUAAGAAGUACUUAUAAAUUAAAAAUGAUAUGCCAUCUUACACAUAACGUUAGUAACCUCUAAUGCCAUGGGAAGUAACAAGCGGUCAAGCUUUAUUGGAGGAGCUGUCCUACGGGGCCCUAGAAGUACUUAAGAAGUACUUAUAAAAGAAUUGAUAAGUACCAGCUUCUUCUUCUUAAUUUCAUUCACAUGAUAAAAUUGCAUUUGGUACAUGGUGUCAAAUAAAUUGUUUAUCCUUUAUCCUCUUGAUUAAUUUUUUUUAAUAUAUAAUUUUAGUUCUAUUGAUAUAUUAAUGGCAUGAAAAAUAUUCAUUUUAUUAUUAAGAUGUUUUCAGUUCAUAGAAUAUAUAUAUAUAUAUAUAUAUAUAUAGAAUACUGUUCCAAUGUUCGGGAGGGAGGCUGGUCACCUCUGCCCCCCAUGUGCAGCCAAACCAAAAUAAUUAAUAGAGUGCUGUUCCAAUCCGGGACUCCCGGAUUGGAACAGCCUCCUAUAUAUAUAUAUAUAUAUUUGAAGCAAAUCUAGAUUAAUUUCUUUGGAGGUUUUUUUUUUUACUUUUUAUUUUUAUUUUUUCAUAUCUCGCUGGAUUUACUGAUUUUUUCACUAUACUAUGUAUACUGGAUUAUUAUUGUUCUUUUCCAAACAUAAUGAAUUCGCUUAAUAUUUUGCAGGGUUCUGGAGCCAGAAGAACAAUUGUUCAAUUAUUUCCAUUAUUUACUUACAUGAUUUGAUACUUCCCCAUUUAAUUGGACGACAAGUUCAUACAAUUUUAGCAAUACUAAAAAUAUAUACUAAUUUAAUGUUUAGACUUUAGAGGCUUCUUUUUCUAAUAAUAGCAUCCUCUUCAAAUAAUUACAAUGGUUGGUCGUUCCUUAACUAAAAGGUCGUAAAGUUGCAAUGAUAUUUUUCUCUUCACGUGCCUAAUUGUAUAAGUUUGAUAAAAAGGGAAAGAGGGCGAGGACCCGAGGUCGACCGCCUUUUUUAUUUUAAGAGUGAUGAUACAGUCAUAAACUCUUGUAUAAAUUUAUUUUGUACAAAUUGAUGUGGUAUUAAUUCAUUAGUUGAAUGAAAAUAUAAAAUAAAUUUAUACAAGAGUUUGUGAUUAUAUCAUUACUCAUAUUUUAAUAUUAGAACAUAAAAUUUAUAGCCUGAAUGAUGUGAUAUACUCAUGAGCUGUUAAUUUUAUAUAUUAAUGAGAGUACUGAUAUCUAUCCAUUAAAUGGAGACAGAAUUAAUGUUAAAAGUGUAUGGAAGUACCGUUAAUUCCAAAUAAAAAAAAAGAAAGUAAAUUUGUAUGAAAAUACCGUCAUUUGAAAAUAAUAAUGAAAAAAAAAUACUUUAAAACGUGUGAUUUUACUAAUAUUUCUUUUGUAGCUCUCUAACCCUCUACGUGUGAAAAUCAUUUUUCUUAAUAAUAUAAAAAAAGAUCAGUUAUAGUCUGAAGAAGUACUUAUAAAUUAAAAAUGAUAUGCCAUCUUACACAUAACGUUAGUAACCUCUAAUGCCAUGGGAAGUAACAAGCGGUCAAGCUUUAUUGGAGGAGCUGUCCUACGGGGCCCUAGAAGUACUUAAGAACUUGACAGGACCUGAUUGAGAUUAACGGCAUUUGAGAUUUUCUACAUGUUGAUUAAAAUUCGUUAUUAUCGGUUGCUGGCCGGCUGUGAAUAACCAUUUCAAAUGUUAAAUUGAUCAUUUGCUCCUUAGAAAAUAAAAACCGAUCAUCGUUACUUAAAAAAAAAAAAAAGAGAUGGGGAGAGAGAGAGAGAGAGAGAGAGAGAGAGAUGAUUUCAACAAUGAGAUUGGACAGAUGAGCCCGGCCCGGCGGCUCCCGCUGAUGUUACUGCAAAAUGACGGGUAGGUGACAGUGGCUCCUGGCCAAUCAAGUUCACAAUUUUAGCAAUACUAAGAAUAUCUAAUAGUUCAAUGUUUGGAAGCUUCAUUUUCUGUUAUUGUUGAUCUUAACUAAAAAGUCGUAAAGUUUCGAUUAUCUUUUUGUCUUAUUUGCUCUUACUGAAUAAGCGCUUAUUCAAUAACAAAAUUAUGGGUGUGAGUGACAAUGACUCUUGGCCAAUAUAAGUCAAUAUAUACCCUAUGCUGACUUGAAUCGUGGGCACAUACUCUACCUGUAAGCAAAUCAUAUUUUAUGAAUAUGAAUUGAAUCCAAUUGCGGGAUCCAUUACUUUUUUUAAUAUCAAAUUAUGAUAGGGUUUAAGAUGAGAGGCGCACUGAUAGUCAAAAUAAAACUUAUUAUUCUAUCAAAUCAAAAAAUAUAAGCAACUCCACAGUUAAAAUGAAGUACCGACAUGAUUUUUUUUUUUAUUUAAACCGCGACAAAAUUUAUGUUAAAACUAUAUGGAAGUACUGGAGAUUAUAGGCUAAAUUAACAUCAAGCAAAUAAAAAAUACAUGCUCCAAAGCAAUACACUCUUUUUUUUUUCCAAAAAAUAAAAGAGUACGGGAGAAACGGGAGUGAAAAUAAAUCAGUCAUAAAACAAACCAAAGAUGUAGCAUUCAUUGAUAUCAUCAGAAUGAAAGUUCAAACCACUCUUAUUCAACAAAUUAAACAACGAAGAUUAAAAAAAAAAAAAAAAAAAAAGAGGUACAAACGAAAAAUAAAACCACUCACCGAAAGAAAUAAAAUUACGUAAACAAACCAGCCAGACGUACAUAUCAGCAAUUCAGCAUGCAUGUAAAUUUUUCAACGCACUACUGCAUGAAAUUGACCGAAAAGUUCAAUUUCUUCUAUCUUCACUCCAAUCUUGUACCUCAUCCUUUCUCUCCCAGUAGCUGGAUCAUAAUAAUAUUCCUUAAAAAACACAACCGUAUCACCGGCUUGCACAUUCUUCUCCCGAACAAACUUCAGCCAAUCACCGGAGAUAACAGGUUUUCUGUGAGGUCCUUUCGCACGGAUUCUCAAAUGCAAUGUCCAUGGCCCAAGUUCACCCUUGGCAUCAAAUGCCACGAAUUCUCGAGGGCGCUCACCAUCUGGCAAUUCAAAAAAACCGUCGUCAAGACGUCUGUUCGAAACAUUAAGUCUGCCACCGGUCUCACAGGCAGUGAUCUUCUUUGGGUAGACCUGCAUCUUUCUUGAACUAGAUAUUAAUUCACACUUAACUGUGUAGAUAUCAGAGAGUAGAGAGUAGAGAGCAGAGAGAGUGUUUUGCAAGGAGAGUGUUAGAGGUCUAUUUAUAAGCAUAUGGAGGAGAGUGUUCAGUACAUUCCAAACAAACAGACAGAUCACAGAUGGCAUAAUCCGCGGUUCAUAAUGGUACAGAAAUUGAUGAAUUUAAUGCUUGGGAACCAGCACAUUAAAUUGCUAAGAUUAGAGCAACAACUCAAUAAUUGAUAAGAGUGAAAUCCAUCACUCAAUAAUUGAUAAGUCAAUGUGAAAUCCAUCACUCUAUAGCACAUUGACUUAUCAAUUCUUUUAUAAGUACUUCUUAAGACUUAUCAAUUCUUUUAUAAGUACUUCUUAAGUACUUCUAGGGCCCCGUAGGACAGCUCCUCCAAUAAAGCUUGACCGCUUGUUACUUCCCAUGGCAUUAGAGGUUACUAACGUUAUGUGUAAGAUGGCAUAUCAUUUUUAAUUUAUAAGUACUUCUUGAGACUAUAACUGAUCUUUUUUUAUAUUAUUAAGAAAAAUGAUUUUCACACGUAGAGGGUUAGAGAGCUGCAAAAGAAAUAUUAGUAAAAUCACACGUUUUAAAGUAUUUUUUUUUCAUUAUUAUUUUCAAAUGACGGUAUUUUCAUACAAAUUUACUUUCUUUUUUUUUAUUUGGAAUUAACGGUACUUCCAUACACUUUUAACAUUAAUUCUGUCUCCAUUUAAUGGAUAGAUAUCAGUACUCUCAUUAAUAUAUAAAAUUAACAGCUCAUGAGUAUAUCACAUCAUUCAGGCUAUAAAUUUUAUGUUCUAAUAUUAAAAUAUGAGUAAUGAUAUAAUCACAAACUCUUGUAUAAAUUUAUUUUAUAUUUUCAUUCAACUAAUGAAUUAAUACUACAUCAAUUUGUACAAAAUAAAUUUAUACAAGAGUUUAUGACUGUAUCAUCACUCUUAAAAUAAAAAAGGCGGUCGACCUCGGGUCCUCGCCCUCUUUCCCUUUUUAUCAAACUUAUACAAUUAGGCACGUGAAGAGAAAAAUAUCAUUGCAACUUUACGACCUUUUAGUUAAGGAACGACCAACCAUUGUAAUUAUUUGAAGAGGAUGCUAUUAUUAGAAAAAGAAGCCUCUAAAGUCUAAACAUUAAAUUAGUAUAUAUUUUUAGUAUUGCUAAAAUUGUAUGAACUUGUCGUCCAAUUAAAUGGGGAAGUAUCAAAUCAUGUAAGUAAAUAAUGGAAAUAAUUGAACAAUUGUUCUUCUGGCUCCAGAACCCUGCAAAAUAUUAAGCGAAUUCAUUAUGUUUGGAAAAGAACAAUAAUAAUCCAGUAUACAUAGUAUAGUGAAAAAAUCAGUAAAUCCAGCGAGAUAUGAAAAAAUAAAAAUAAAAAGUAAAAAAAAAACCUCCAAAGAAAUUAAUCUAGAUUUGCUUCAACUAUAUAUAUAUAUAUAUAGGAGGCUGUUCCAAUCCGGGAGUCCCGGAUUGGAACAGCACUCUAUUAAUUAUUUUGGUUUGGCUGCACAUGGGGGGCAGAGGUGACCAGCCUCCCUCCCGAACAUUGGAACAGUAUUCUAUAUAUAUAUAUAUAUAUAUAUAUAUUCUAUGAACUGAAAACAUCUUAAUAAUAAAAUGAAUAUUUUUCAUGCCAUUAAUAUAUCAAUAGAACUAAAAUUAUAUAUUAAAAAAAUUAAUCAAGAGGAUAAAGGAUAAACAAUUUAUUUGACACCAUGUACCAAAUGCAAUUUUAUCAUGUGAAUGAAAUUAAGAAGAAGAAGCUGGUACUUAUCAAUUCUUUUAUAAGUACUUCUUAAGUACUUCUAGGGCCCCGUAGGACAGCUCCUCCAAUAAAGCUUGACCGCUUGUUACUUCCCAUGGCAUUAGAGGUUACUAACGUUAUGUGUAAGAUGGCAUAUCAUUUUUAAUUUAUAAGUACUUCUUGAGACUAUAACUGAUCUUUUUUUAUAUUAUUAAGAAAAAUGAUUUUCACACGUAGAGGGUUAGAGAGCUGCAAAAGAAAUAUUAGUAAAAUCACACGUUUUAAAGUAUUUUUUUUUCAUUAUUAUUUUCAAAUGACGGUAUUUUCAUACAAAUUUACUUUCUUUUUUUUUAUUUGGAAUUAACGGUACUUCCAUACACUUUUAACAUUAAUUCUGUCUCCAUUUAAUGGAUAGAUAUCAGUACUCUCAUUAAUAUAUAAAAUUAACAGCUCAUGAGUAUAUCACAUCAUUCAGGCUAUAAAUUUUAUGUUCUAAUAUUAAAAUAUGAGUAAUGAUAUAAUCACAAACUCUUGUAUAAAUUUAUUUUAUAUUUUCAUUCAACUAAUGAAUUAAUACCACAUCAAUUUGUACAAAAUAAAUUUAUACAAGAGUUUAUGACUGUAUCAUCACUCUUAAAAUAAAAAAGGCGGUCGACCUCGGGUCCUCGCCCUCUUUCCCUUUUUAUCAAACUUAUACAAUUAGGCACGUGAAGAGAAAAAUAUCAUUGCAACUUUACGACCUUUUAGUUAAGGAACGACCAACCAUUGUAAUUAUUUGAAGAGGAUGCUAUUAUUAGAAAAAGAAGCCUCUAAAGUCUAAACAUUAAAUUAGUAUAUAUUUUUAGUAUUGCUAAAAUUGUAUGAACUUGUCGUCCAAUUAAAUGGGGAAGUAUCAAAUCAUGUAAGUAAAUAAUGGAAAUAAUUGAACAAUUGUUCUUCUGGCUCCAGAACCCUGCAAAAUAUUAAGCGAAUUCAUUAUGUUUGGAAAAGAACAAUAAUAAUCCAGUAUACAUAGUAUAGUGAAAAAAUCAGUAAAUCCAGCGAGAUAUGAAAAAAUAAAAAUAAAAAGUAAAAAAAAAAAACCUCCAAAGAAAUUAAUCUAGAUUUGCUUCAACUAUAUAUAUAUAUAUAUAGGAGGCUGUUCCAAUCCGGGAGUCCCGGAUUGGAACAGCACUCUAUUAAUUAUUUUGGUUUGGCUGCACAUGGGGGGCAGAGGUGACCAGCCUCCCUCCCGAACAUUGGAACAGUAUUCUAUAUAUAUAUAUAUAUAUAUAUAUAUUCUAUGAACUGAAAACAUCUUAAUAAUAAAAUGAAUAUUUUUCAUGCCAUUAAUAUAUCAAUAGAACUAAAAUUAUAUAUUAAAAAAAAUUAAUCAAGAGGAUAAAGGAUAAACAAUUUAUUUGACACCAUGUACCAAAUGCAAUUUUAUCAUGUGAAUGAAAUUAAGAAGAAGCUGGUAAAGUGGAGUUCGUUUUGGUUGUCUUUUUCCUUUUUUAUUUUUUCGUCUCAGGACAACGAAAAUCCAGCUGUGCUUUCUUUCUAAGGAGGGCCCUAAUCCAAACUCAAAUGACUGGAAAAUCUUGUAGCAUGGUCGCGCUACUCUUCAUUACAUGAUUUGGACAGAGGAGUCAAGUUUGGAAUAAACAGUUUUGUUUAUUUGGACAGAUUACUAGCCGGUUCAAUUUUGUCCAAACAAACUGUUGUCCAAAACCGCCAGUUAUGCUUUCUUUCAAAACCGCCGAUCAUAGUAAUUUCUUUCUAAGAAGGGUUUUUCUUCUCUGUAAGUGGUUUCGUGAAAGAGACACGAAAAUGAAGUUAAAAGAGUUUGGGAUGAUGGGCCCUCCUUAGAAACCACUAAUAUUUCAGCAAUCUUGCGUUUGAUGUUGUCCAAACAAACUUAUUUACUUCUUGAGUGGUGUUUCAUUUAUAUGGUUGAAAUAUUAGUGGUUUGUAUUUCAAGAUUGCUGUUGUUGUUGGCCAUAGUGUUGUCAAAAGCAGAAAGAAACGGCUCAAAAGAUAGCCUAUAUCAUUCAGAAACCCAGAAAAAUGAAACACGCCAUGCUGCGUCAGCCCUAGAAUGAGUUACUUCUAUUCUGUUGCUAAUUAUUUGUUUGUUUGCGUUUUGUUUUUUUGCAUGCAAUGGUUUCGUGUGAGAGAAUAUAAGUUAUUGCUCUUAAUUUUUAUUCUAAAGAAUUUUAUAGAAUCAAAUUUCGACUUAUAUUCUUAAAGAUAUUCCAUAAUACAUAAUUAUUGCAUUAUAUGACAAUAAAUGGUGAUUGUGAUGUGUGGGCGAUUCUGCCAUAAUAAUGUUCUAAGUCAACACAUAACGUAAAGAUAUGUUGGGCUGGGACAAGAAAUGAUAUGCUCAUAUUACUCUUUUUUUUUUUUUUUUUCUAGUUUCUUUUCAUUAAGCAUCGGAUAACAAGUAGCUAAUCUCUUUCUUACUUAUGCGAGCGAGAUUCAAUCCCUUAUCUCUUGCUUCAAUCCAAGAUAUUUUAUCUCUUAAAUUAUUUGGCACCUCACAACUUGAGUUCACACUAAUGUGUAACUAUUAUUGUUUGUUACUAACAUUUAAAAAUUUGGUUUUAAAUUAUUUGGCACCUCACAACUUGAGUCAAGGCAAAUUUAAUUCCAAGUUAAAGACAAGAGAUUAUGACCUUGAAAAUUUCAACUGAUCAUGAGAUAAUUAUAUAUUUUUGAUCAUUUAGUUUGCAUUUAUUCACCUUAAUCCCUUAUCAUUAAUGUAUUAUGUAGGAACAUAUGAGCUUAGUUGGGUAAUUAGUCAUUUUCUUGGACCAUUUUGCUAAUGGAUUCACGAGAAUGAAGGCACCGCUAAUUGUGCCAGAAAAUUUGGUAUCAUUUAUUAACAGAAGUUGAAUGAAAAAACACCAAAUCUUGAAAUUUUAUUUGAUUAAAAGUAUUGAUAAAUAUAAUUUUAAUCUGACUCAUUCCUCAGUGUUACGAAGAUGGUUAUAAUUAUAAUAAAUAUUUGAAGAUGGUUAGAACUGAGUAAAUUUCAGUGUUAUAUCCCUUUGCCAAUUCCCAAAUUUGAGUAGGACUCACAAUUCUAAUUCUAAUUUUACAAAAUAAACUUUAUCAAUGAUUCUAAUUUCUCAACUUGAGAAGUAAAUGCACCAUGAAAAUUUAUGAUCACUCCCAAACUCUAGACACCGAAGUAGACUAGUAGGUGAAGAAAAGCAUAACAAAAAUAUGCUGACCAAUAGGAAUCACACUAGUAAUGCAUUAUUUUUUCUAUCAUUUCUUUUUAUAGAAAAAAAAAUCUUUUCGAUAGAUAAAAAAAAAAUUCUUUUUUUGUAGAUCACCCAAAUAGAUGGUACAAAUUCAGAUUGUUAUAGGCCAAACUAAGAUAUCCGUUGCAGUAAAUAACCGAUUAAAUUAAACUAUUUCAAACGCUGAAAAAAUUGAAAAUAUCUUUUAGUCUUAUUUCUAAAUUCAGUUAAUUGUAAGUUUUAAAAAUUUGAAUUCAUGAUUGGUUUUUUUAUUAAAUAAAAAAAUUUACAACCUCCACUGACUCAAAAAGCUUGAGCUUAUCCGUGGCCAGUGGGUGAAAGUGGACGCGUUUGAUUUCGAUCUCUUAUCCGUAACUCACUAUCUACUAACUUGUUGCCCCGUCUGCUUGGACAGGGGCGGACGCCAUGUAAAACUAAAGGGGUGCCAUGGCCCCCUGGGUUUUAAAAUAUUUUGAGAUUUUUGAAUAAAAUAUGAAUAAUGUAUACACUGAUCCCUGUAUAAUUAAGUUUGACCCCCCCUUAAAUUUAUAAGUUUAAAUUUGGCCCCCUUAAAUUUCCUCCUGAGAUCCGCCCCUGUGCGUGGAACCAUUUUUGCUCCACAAUGUUCUUAUCUUUGUUAUUUGUCCAAUACUAUAAUCUAAUUAAUUAGUUUAAUUGAUAAACAUUCUCAUUUGUCAUAUUUAAUCUGAUUAAUAAUUUAACAUCUUUUUAACAUCACCGCUAUGUAUCCGCGUUCUGAGUUGGCAUUGACUCACCAAAAGCUUGUGUCUGUUUUUCUAGCCGUCUACUUUUCUAAUAAAACUUAAAUAAAACGUAUUCAAAUUACCUUUUACGUUAUGUGUUGACUUGGAACAUUAUUAUGACAGUAUCGCCCAAACAUCACAAUCACCAUCUAUUGUCAUACAAUACAAUAACUUUCCUGCAAUUGCAAGAACAAAAAAAAGAUAAAAAAGGGGUGCUCAUCACUUAUCAGGAUACACCAAGCCCUCCUUGUGUCUAGUUUCUUUAUAGAACCAAAUUUAUACUUAUAUUCUUAAAGAUAUUCAAGAUUUAAUCAAUAAAAGUCACAACUAUCUGGAAUUGGUACAAGACCAAAAUUUAUAAUUUUUUUCGUACUAAUUCAUCAAGAUAUAAUGAGUAAAUCAAUACUGACUGUUCUAGACCUAAACUAUAAACUGUAAAACCAUGAGGCUGAAGUAAACUCUUAAACAGAUAAAACAUGAUUUUCACUGAUAUAGAGCAAAUAAAACUUGAUACACAUGCUGCCACAUCCCUUUCCAGGACCAUAAAUAAGUAACCCGUUAGCAAAAUAAAAUAAAAUAACUUUUAGAAAAACACAUGGGUCCCUUCACCAAUUCAUCAAUACAAUCACGUGCUUCCUAAAUUGCUUUAAGCAAAUCCCAAGAAUCCCGCCGGACCACAAUAACAAUAACAUAGAGGCUGAAGACAAGCACACAUUACACAACACAAACUAUUUAAUAUUGGUUUUUGCUACCUUAUCGUUGCAUGUAAGGUACAGUCUCUCACAAACUCAGAUAUAGAUCUCAUUUAGACCCACCAGCCUUGUGAGAGGCUGUACCUUACAUGCAACGUAAGGUAGCAGCUCCCAAUAUUGAUAUUGGACUCAAACUUCACUUGUAAACAAUUUUUUUUUUCCAACAUAUUAACAACGAACUGAAUCCAUAUAAAGUUAAUAGACUAAUUUUUCUAAUAAUAAUUACGAAUCAUCCAAAUUAACCCCCAAUCCAAGCAUCAAUUCAGAACCCAAUCAUAUUGAGCGGAAUUUUCUCUAUAGCAUACGAAAACCCCAAUUUAUAGUAAAAGAGUUAAUAAGAAAAUUACAGAGAAACAUAAGAUUUAUACAUACAAAAUGCAAUCAACAGUGAACGCGUUUGGUACAUUUUUCACUAAAACAAGAGGGACUUUAAGCUCGCAGGAAUCUCAUUGUGUUGUGGACUUCACCAUUCACAGGGAUUUAGAGUUUGUUGGUUUGCUUGAAAAGUCAUAGGCAAUUUGGGUUUUCUUUGUGAAGGCGGUAAAACGUGUGUGUGUGAGAUUCUUUUUAAGUCAAUCCUAAUAAUGUUUUAAAAAUUAAAUAAAUAUUAUUGAUAUAAUUUAAGUGCAUAUGAAUAAAACUAAAAAAAAAUACAAACCAACAAGUCUAUCUAACAAAGAUAUUAAUUAAUACAUUAAUGUGCUUUAUGUUUAUGAAUAAUCACUUCAUAAUAUUUUAGAUCCAAAUUAGUAAAAUGAGAAAGAUUAAUUUAAACAUUUAAUAAAUUACAACUGAUGUUAUAGCAGUUUAUAAUAUUCAGAUGUUCAGUUAUAAGAUAAUUUUGAUAGGAAUCAUAUAUAAAAUCAUAUAUAAUUCUUAUUUAGUUGAUAAUACACUUUUGUCACAAAGUUAGACAUAUAAGCUAGUUAUUACAAAAUUUAUAGUUUACAUUUUCAUACAAUGAAAGAGUUUCAAUUUCACACAAAUAAAAAAAAAAAAUUUAAGUACAUGUCUACAUAAAUUGAAUAUGCCUAUGCCUAUUAUUGAUUCUAAAUAUCAAAACAUAAAUGGUUAGUGCUAGGAUGAAUAAUUUCUUCUUGUUUGAAUCAAUAUCCUUUUCACGAAAAUAGUUAUUAGGCUUUCUUUUUGCUAGGAAACUUAUAUUUGUAACAUUUUGGUCUAUAUAAAUUACGCAUACAUGUAUUGGAUUGAUUGUCUCAAUACUUUAGAAUCAAUUUUUAUCCAGAACAAUGUACUGUUUAUAAAAAGACGUUAACUGACAUUUAAUGAAAAUAAUUAAUUCAAUUAAUUGAAUUCGUAUGAGACAUUUUAUCUCCUUAACUAUUUAUUGAUAUUUCUCAUAAUUUAUAGAUGAUUUCUUGUCAGCAAUAUUCUAUUUCAUGGUUAUACUGAUGAAUGAUGAUUUUAUUAUUUAUAUCUUUUAUGCUAUUUAAAUAUUUUAUAAGCUUUACGACAAAUAAAGAUUGAUGGGCUAACUGACUUAAAAAAAACAGCUACCAAAUAAUUCAAUAAUUUUAUACACACUUUUGGGACUAAAGUCUUCAGUCAUUGUAUUCAUUCAAAAUUUUCAUCCUCCAUUGGUGUAGAUGGGCGCAGAAUAUAAUUAGAGCGCGGAGAGGAGGCGCCAAAAUAUGCUUCUAAUUUAACGUUAGUCGCCAAAUUUAUUUCAUAUUGUGAUUAAGAAUAAUAGUCGCACUAUAUUUUCUCGACCUAAUUGAAAUACGUGAUAUAGUAACGAAUAAAACUAGUCACCGAACAAUACAGAAAUACUUUUUUUUAACAUAUUUAAAUUUUAUUUGGUAACUGUAAGCUAUAGUCGUUCCAUAAUCUUUAUUGUAACAAUGUCAUUUAGACAAGGAAAGCAGAUAAAUAAAUAUCAUCUUGAGAUGACUAAUUCCUAAUAUAGUCUCCCAUUAUACUCUAGUAUGUGACUAACAAUAUUAGUCACCACAGUUUCUACACCUGAUUUGAUUAUAUUCAGCGAUUGUUUGUUUUAGUUGCUUAAGCACUCCGAUUGCAACUAAAUAUGUUGGUUUUUGAACCCAAUUCCCAUAAUAAAUGUAUACCGUCUGUGACUAAAUAUAAAUUUGGCACGGAAAAGCGUAUUGAAUGACUAUACUAUUACUUUAUAGUCAUCCAAAAUUAAUGAUGAUAAAAAAAAUAAUCAUUCGUUUGAAAAACGUUUCGGCCAUAUACGGUGACUGUAUUAUUUAGUGGUAAAAACAUAUGUUUCAGUGACUACUAUGUCAGUCGUUGAUGGCAUUUAUUCAGUAUGGAAAUGUGAUGUCGCUUGAAGUAUCAAUCGAUAAGCUUCUUACUGAGACUAAUUGACUAUUUGUCACAUAAUGUGGUCUUUAAGGACUAAGUAAAGAGUCAUAGAAUAUGGAUGAUAGUGGCAAAAAAAUUCAGAGCAUUCGGCAGCAAAUGGUGCGACUAAAUAUUUACGUUAGUCAUGGAAUAAUCUAUUACGUGACUAAAUAUUUAAUAGUCAUAAAAUAGUUGGUCACAAAAACACAAUUUUGUUGUAAUGAAUGUUUGUUUGUAUGUAAUGCGGAUGCGGUCCCCGUACAUAUAUUAUACAUAUAUUAUUAUUAUUAUUAUUAUAAUAAUAAUAAUAAUAAUAAUAAUAAUAAUAAUAAUAAUAAUAAUAAAAAAAAUAAAAUAAAAUAAAUAAUGAUAAGAGCACUUUAUAGGUUAAGAGUUUAUUCCGAAUCACAUCAUAAUAAUCUAUUGUCACGUGUUUCCAUGAUCCGAUCAUCUAUAAUCUAGGCUACGAUACGAAGAUGAAUCAUAUCCUGAAUUUUCAAAAACACGUAGUUGAAAAAGUUAACCGCAAAUCUCGGGUACCAGCAUUCUCACGCCCAUUGAAACGGAAUCUAACUAGUUUUGUCAGCCAUAUACAGGUGUGGUCUCAAAAGGCGUAUAUCAUAUUAUUACAGCCACACGAUUCCCUCUAAAAUACUCUUAAAUCCCAAUUUAUAAACAGUCACCCUGAAAAAAAAUUAAAUAUAAUGUACUCUAGUGUUUCUAGUUACACCUAUUUGAAUAUUGUUUUUUUACAAUCAUGAAACUCCUCACUUUCAUAAAAUUUGAGACAAUCUGAAAUAUGAAAAAGAUACACACUAAUAUAGCGUAUGAAAACAUAUAUAUAUAUAUUUUUUUUAUUCAUCUUCUAACUUAUUCACAAAUUAUAUCUUAGAAAAAUCCCAUAUAUAUUACCAGGUCUCUUUUUUCAAAAUUUUUGAUGCCCAACCUCAUGUAAAUUAAUCUUUUAUUAAAUUGUUGUUAGAUUCCUCGUUGUACUUGAUAAAUAAUGAUUCCAAUUUCAGUAUACAAAUCCUUAUUUAAAAUAUCAGUGAACGUAUAUAUCCUUGUCAAGAAGAAGUUGAAACACACAUAUAGAAUUGGUUAGCUUAAUUGUCUUGUCAUGUUUGGUCGUCAAAAGGAAUUGGCCAUUUUUGGCCCAGUAAUUCAAAUGACUGUUUUGCGAUUGUCUUAACGAAAAAACAAAGCACGCACAAUUUGACAAGAGCAUAAAUUGGUUAAAAGAGGAUAUGAAUAUUAAAGUUUGCAACUCCACCAACACCCUUACGAAAUCUUUAUUUGGAUAGCGGUCUCUUUAUAUUAUGUUUACUUAUUUGAGUGAAAGUGAAUAGUAUAGAUUCAUUCUACUCUAGUGUUUGUUUUUAAAUUUUAAAAGAGAAGCGAGAAUCUCAUUCAUAAAGGCCCAUCCCUUUUUGGACUGGGGACUAGGGAGUGGGAAUCCACUUCCCCAUUUUUUUUCUUACUUUUAUUUUAUUUAAUAUAACAUAAUUAUAUUUAGUAAAAUAAAAUAAAUAAUAUUAUAUUUAUUUAAGUAAUAUUAUUAUAUUAUUUUAUAAAUUACAUUUAUUAAAAAUAAUAAUAUUAAACUUGUUUAAAUAUAAUAUUAUCACAUUUAGUUGAAAAUAAUAAUUUACAUUGAUUUUAAGUUAAAAUUACUUUAAAAUAAUAAUAUUAUAUUCAUGGAGAAUUAAUAAUAUUACAAUAUACUACCUUUAUUUGAAAAUAUAAUAUUAUAAUAUAUUUUUUAAAAAAUAGUAGUAUUAUUUUUAUUUAAUAUUAGUAAUUACUAAUAAUAAAUAUUUUAUUAUAAGAAAAUAUUAAUUUUGUACUAUAUUAUCAAUAAUAAUGUUUCAUUUGUGUUGCUCUUAUCAAUAAUUUUUAUUCACAUAAUUAAAAUAAAUUAAUAAAAAUUUGUGAUUUACAUAAUUAAGAAUAUUAAUUAUUAUUAUUAAUUUAUAGAUAUAAUAAAGUAAAUAAUUUAUUUUUUAAAUAUAUUUUUUUAUUAAUUUUGUAAUUAACAACUACAAUUCUUUAAAUAAGAGUAAAAUUAUAAUUUGAAAUCAUUUACUCCAAAUCCAAAAUAAUGUAAAUACAUAAAUUAAAUUUUAAUUUCAAUUGCAUACUGCGGUUCCCAUGUAAGUAAACAACAUAUUCUAUCUCCCACUUCACGCUCCCAAUCUCAAAAUUCUCACUCGUCAAGCUAUAUUUUAGAUUUACGAUUAAGUGUAGAAUUAAACUAAUUUUUGAGACAAAAUAUCAUUACGUUUGACAAAAUUAAAUUAUAUUAAGUUGGAUUAUAUUUGGUGCUGACUUAUAUUUGGUACAGUAUUUGAUUAGAUUUAAAUAAAGUUCAAUAAUAUUUAAGUCAAUAUUUGAACCUAAAAGUAGCUUUAACUUAAAUACUAUUUAACUUCAUUUAAAUAUAAUCUAAUCUAAUCUAAUCUAAAAUUGCACCAAAUAUAUGGCAUCACUACAUAUAAUCUAACCUAACCUAAUCUAAUCUCAAUACCCAAUCAAAUCUAAAUCAGGAUGCCAAACGUCAUCAAAUACAAAAGUUUUGUCCUUCAGAGUAAAAUAAAAAAUAAAAGUGAAAGACCCAGCAUCUGUUGGUAUACAUACAUAUAAAUUAAUUGAAGGAGAAUAAAGCACGUUGAUUGAUGGCUUCUCGUUGGGUGGAAUGAUUGAAUCGAAAAGACAAAUGACGUUCCUUAUUCAGAAAGACAAAAGAGGGAUACUCGUAUAUCGACUCCUACUAAUACCAGCUUAGAAACACGGGUCCGCUUGUAAUACAGCGUUUGUAUCUCAUACAGCUGAAUUCAAUAUUUUAUUAAAAAAAAUGACAACCGUUAGAUAGAAGUAAAUACAUCCAAUGGUUAAUAUGUGUGAUAACUCAUUUUGGCGACCGAAUAUGGCAGUGAUUAUUUCAUCAAUUAACUUAACUAAAAAAUCACAGCCGUUGGAUUGUCUCUCUCUCCAUCAUAAUAAAAGCUUUCGCAUUCUCCCUCCUAUUGUUUUCUCCCACAUCCAGAAUUUUGGAUGAUAAGAACUUGUUAUUCAAGAGUAUUCACCACCCAUCACAGCAAAGAGCAAAGAUGUAGCCGAAGGAGUGCCGUUUAUUCAAGCUUACUCGAUCUGUCACUCUCACUUCAAUUCGUCGCUCAACUUCUCGAGGGCAUCUUCAGUUCGUCACUCACAGCUUCAAAUUUUCACUCUCGUCAAUCACCUCUCUUGCUGUACCUCUCUCUUAUGUCUCCCAACAAUUUCGGUGAGCUCUCUCUCUAAUUUAAUAUAUGAUAAAAAAUCUUAUCAUGUCAUUUAAAUAUGCUUGAAGUUUCAGUUUAGUUUAUUAUUAUUACUUGAAAUUUUGAGAUGAUUUCCAGGGAUUGAUAAUUGAAAGAUAAUUGGUAGGGCUUUUGUUUUUUUGUUUUUUUAUCUUGAGAUUAUGUUUUUCACAAAAAGGAAAAAAAAAAAAAGAGGUUGCACUAUCUAGCAUCAAGCAACUGCAAGUAAUGGGGUUUGUUUUGAUGAGCUGCGAAUUGGGGCUUCUCACUUUCUUGAAUUAUCUUCAAUAUAAGUGGAAAGGGAUUUCUUCUCUCCAAAAAAUUAUUGUAUAUUUCCUUUUAAAUUCUAGAUUGACAUGUAGCCGAUUUUUGAUGUUUGAAGGAUUUUAUUAAAGAAUGUGCUGCUGCCAGUGGCAUGAAUUAAUGUAGUCUCGCUAGUAUUCCUGAUUUGGGGUAAUGAUGUAAUUGAACGAUUAUAUUUCUAUUAUUCUUAUAUUUGAAUCCAGUGAUAUUGUGGUGGUUUUAUGAUAAUAUUCUAUCGUUUUGUGCCACAAAUCAGCCAAUGAGUUGGGUAUGUGCUGGGUAUAUGCUGUAUGGGGUUGUUGUUGAAUUUACUGGACCUUGGAUGUGAUUCUUGCCGUGUUUAUAAGAAAUAGACAAAUGUCUUUCUAUGGUAAUAGAAUUGUCUAAGUUGCAUUACGAUAAAUGUUAAGUAACUAUGCUUUGUAACCUUAAACCUUUAUUUGUAAGACUUGGUGUACUUGACUGUGAAAGAAUGUUAAAUGUUGACUUAUUUUCAUUGGUGAAGAUAAAUGAAGUUAGGAAAGGUUUGUAAUCACUAUAACCGAGACAAUUUCUUGGGUAGACUUGUAAUAAUUUUAUUCAUGGCAUGUAAUUUGUUUUUAUCAGAGGGCAUGUUUGCUUGUAGUCUCAAAUCUAGGGUAAUAUUUAAAAUAAGUUCUGCAAUAUAUGUUUUGCUAUUUUUUAUUUUUUAUUUUUAUUUUAAUUGGUUUUAGUAUUACUUGGAGGGGAAUUCUGAUCUGCUGAAGUUUAUGAAGCUGGUGCAGCAAGCAGGCCUUUAUCUUAAUCUUACAAUUGGCCCUUACGAUUGUGGUAAGUGGAAUUUUGUGUAAGUUACAACAAUAUAAUUUUUUGAAAAGAGCCGACAAGACGCUCUAUUUUCUUCUGUUUUUUUGGAAUGUUGAGCAAAACUUUUCUUUAUUCUCAGGGGCCCUGUUUUGCUGAAGUACAUUCCAGGUAUCAAUCCCUCUGAUAUACCAUCCCUUUAUUAGGUGUUUAUAAUAAUUCAUGGGUUUUGUCAUAUUGGUUUCAAUGCAUUGGUUUUGAUAUUGGUUACAGCCCAUCAGCCCCUACUCCUCUUUCCCAGCAGCCUUCAAUGCUUUUUUUUUAUAAUUUUUUUUAAGCAUUGUACUUUGAUUCACGGUGAAAUUUGUUUGUAUGAUGCUAAGUUGAGGACAUGAUAAUAGUCAUGAUUUUAUUGUAUGCAGCAAAGAUAAAUGUCCAUAAAAUUUUAUGUUGUUGAAAUAAUAAGAUUUCGCUAAUUUUGUAGUAAGAAAUGAGGGCUAUUGAUCCCUUCCGUUUAUUAUAUUCAAUUUUUUUUUCACUCUUUCAUUCAUUUAUUGUGAAGUGUGUUUAGGUAUUAGUCAUGGGCAAAGGUAAAGAUCUUUACUUUGGUAUUUUUGUCUUCUUGUGCUUCAUUGGUAUAAAUGAGGAAAAAAAGCCAAAAAUAAAAUAAAAUUAUAAUAUUUGCAUGAAUUCCAUCAUCUAUGGUAUGUUGAAUAGAUUAAAAAGCAAGGAGUACAGUGAUGGAAUAGCAGGCGGGGGAACUAUUUUUUUUUAAAAAAAUAUAAUACAUAUUGAUGGAAUAAUUAUCCUUCCCUUAAUUAUCUAAAAUUUUUCUUUUGGAAGAAUACAAAUGGACAGUCAGCAACGAAAGCGUAAACGACAACCAGGGGGCUUACAGAAAAAAAGUGCUCCUAUUCUAAGAGCAAAUGGUCAGGACGCAGUUCCAACGUCCUCAACUUAUGGAUUUGUCUCUUACUUGUAAGUAGUCAUUGUGACUUACCUAUCGACAAAUAAACACGUCGAUACCAGAUAACACUAAUUAGAUGUUAUGGUUUUGCAGCAUUGAAGAAGUUAAGCGGUUGAGAAGUGAAAAUUCAGAUUUAUCCGUUACGCUUGGGGUUAGUAUAUUCAUUAAAUGUAGCAUGUACAUCUAUUAUUUUGUGGGUUUUUUAUGUUUUAAAACAUAUGCAUUACCUUUUUUACAGUUACGAAAACAUAUUGGGAAAACCUACAAAGAACUUCCUCCCGAACAAAAGGCAAGGUACAAAAGGAGAGAUGAAAGGAUGGGUAAUUCGGGUAAUUCAAACUCACAUUCUGGUGACAAUGAAAUAGUGGAAACUAAGUGUGUACCUGAGCGGUUUUGUGCGCUGGGUAAGAGUUUAUCGGAAGAGAAGAAAAAAGCAAUAAGAGAAAUAGGAUUUGAAAGCCUGCUUGAACUCAGAUGUGGCAAGCUGAAGAGGAAGUUAUGCCAUUGGUUUGUUAAUCAGUUUAAACCUGAAAGGAAUAUAAUUGAACUUCAUGGUCAGAAAUUAGAACUUUGUCCCAAAAUGUUUUCGAAAAUCAUGGGCGUAAAAGAUGGAGGUAUGGCCAUUAAGAUUAAUGGUGCAAGUGAUCAUAUUGAUGAAGUGCGACGUAUUUUCAAACCAACAGUUAAAGGGAUUCGCAUCCGCACGCUCGAGGAACUAAUAGAGCAAUUAGAUGAAGCCAACAAGAUUUUCAAGGUUUGUGGAUAACUCAAUUACAGCGCUUGUAAUUGCUUACAAUUGAUUGUGUUUUAAAUUAUGAAUCUUUGUGCAUAACCCCCGUUUAAUCUAUAGUAUUUGUAAUUGUAGUUGUAUGAAACACUUGAACUUAUUUUUAAAAAUGUGCACACUUAAGCUAUUUAUGUAGCUUCUUAAUGCUUGCAACCGUUCACGAUGUUGAUUACAUAAAGUUUUUUGCAGGUUGCAUUUACCUUAUUUGCUAUAGCGACAUUGUUAUGUCCAAUAGGCAGUUAUAUUUCAACGUUGUUUCUUCAUCCCAUCAUGUUGUUCAUGCAGAUCUUUUAUCUCCAUAAUGUUGCAUAUGACAACAUUCAGCCCGAUAGGAAUAUACUUCCCAUCACAUUCUGGAACGAAUCAAGGAUCAAGAAGUUCAUGAAGUGGCUUAGAUCCAAAGGAGGGAUUGGAAGCGAUAAGUUAAUCUCUUCUUGUAGGGUGCUUAGUUGAAUUGAAAACAGAAUUAGUUGCAUUAUGUAGUAUAGGCAUAAAUUCAUUAUCUAUGUCAAUUCAUUCAUAGUUUGACUCCAAAUGGAGUAAUAGAUCACCAUUAAUUUUUGGUAAUCGAUUCACUUUUUUAAAUUUUCAAAUCUAUCGUCAAGCUGGUCUACCACAACAGCCAAAUGAUUUUGAUUGCGGCUACUAUGUGAUGAAGUAUAUGGAUAGUCCUUGUAUUGUUGUCCAUGACUCUUAUCAGGUUUGUACAGUUGUAUCUUAUUGGUGUAUAAUAUCUUUUCUGUAUUAGAUUAACAAAUAAGGAUUUAUAUCAGCAGGAUGAGGAUCGACUUUUUAAAAAAGGUUAUUUUUUUUUUAACUUUUUCAGCAUGACUCGGAUCACGCUUGCCUUCUUCUAGCUCUUUAUUUGGUGCAAUCUCCGCUUAAGAAGAUUAAGUGUCGACUUAUUCAAGAAGCGCGCAAGUUAUAGGUUGACUGUGCAGUCUUUUUUUUUUUUGUUUGCCGAACCAUUUUGUAGCAUUGUAGCAACGUUAGGGUAAAAGGUUGGCAAAUUUUUUGUGAUGCCACCCCAUUUGUUGGUAUUUUGUAUAGCAACUACUGUUGUUGUAGAAUCCGCGAGUUCACUAACCUAGUUAGCUGAUGGGUGGCCCUCUUAUUUUUUGGCUGAGGGUGCUUAUUUUACAAACAUGUGUGUUCCGGCAAGAUUACAAUUACUGCGCAGGCGUAUAGCAACUGUGAUGGCCCUAUUAUUUUUUGUAUAUGUGAGGGUGUUUAUUUAGUAAGAAAUUGUACAUGUAAUGGUUAAUCAAUUGAUGUGUACGCUUCUGUACAAGUUUUCUGUUUUCUUGAUUUCAGUUUUUUCUUUUUGCUUGAUUUCAGUUUUUUCUUUUUUAAGUGCAAGAUUAAAUAGUGGACAAUUUGGAAUUGUUGUUUGGCUGUUGGGAAAUGAGAAAGGACAAUGAAAAACUAAACUCGGCACCAAUUGGUUAUGUGGAAUAAAAUGAGUAUUACAGGUUUGUCCAACUAAAGGCCCCUUCGGUUUCUGAUCUUGAAAACCUUGUUCAAGAAUUUGAAAACAGGUGGGGAGAAGAAUAUGUUCUUGUUAAACAAAUAAGCCUUUGGAUAGAUAGAUUUAAAGCACAUGUCAAACAGUUUACCAUUUUUUAAAUGCUCGUUUUCUACACACCAGAGACUACAAUGUAUGUUUUUCGAAACUUAAGAAUUCUUCUCAAUUUUAAGUUAAAUUAGCAUAUUUUUUCAUAAAUAAAUAUAACUAAAAAUAUUUUUCGUUCUGUUCAUUUGACCAAAAAUGCCUCAUUUGACGCCUGGAGGGGUUGGAGACAACAGUGAAAUAGCUUAAAAUUUUUAGUUUUUUAUUGGUUUUUAUAUUAAAUAGUUUGAAUAGAAAAUAUUAUUUGACAAUUUAAGUGUUGGUUUUUUCGUUCUCUUAAAAUUGUUGGCUUAAAUGGCGAAGAAAUCAUUAAUUUUGAUGAUAACAAUUACAUGAAAAAACGAUAAUUUAGUAUAUUUAUUUAAAGGUAAACUUUCUACCCUAACUAAAAUCAAGCUCAAGGCAUAAAUGAUCAAUGAGAGCUAUAAAAAGGGUACGACGAGUUAUAAAGAGGGUACCAACUCGAAUAAUUCACUUUUUCAUACUCCUAAUGCUAAUACACUUUACUGUGUACACGACUUUGUAUCUUAAAAGCUCAAGGCUUCCUUUCAUAAUCUCUAUAACAAAUUAUCAAUUUUCAUUGUAUAAAGUUGUAUAUUUUACCAGGCAAAUUAUUUAAUCAAAAUGAGUAUUUGAAAAUUUACGGACCACAUCAACAAGAUUUCAGUUUUUUAGCUCCUUACGUGUUAUUUUUAAACGCUCAAAAAGGACCUAUACGAAAAUAAUUGAAUAUACUCGUUCAAAGUAUAAUUACAAAAAUUAGUGCUCAUGGACACAAAGUUUGCGGCUUACCUCUUCCUGUGAAGCGGCUAGCCGCAUGUACAUCACUUUUUGUAACCCAUUCCAGAAACAUAGCGGCUACCCGCCUUCAUUUCGCGGCUAGCCGCAUGUGCUACGCUUUUGAUAACUCAUUCCCAAACAUAGCGGCUACCCUCCUUCCACUGUCUUCCUCCUCAAUUUUUUAGCGGUCUCUCUCCCCACUCACUCUCGCUGAAAAUUGUGCACUUCUUACACAUUUUGUCUCCAAAUUCACUCUCCGAAACCAUUUUCCAUCCAUUUUACCUCAAUUAUCAACUCCCAAACUCUCAUUGCAUAUACACGCACGACUGCCUUAUGGGAGAAAAUGGAACGAAAGCUUCGAAUUAAUCCAACGAAGAAUUCAAAUUACUUGGAAUCUCAAUGCAAAUAUUGGUACAUGUAGGCAUUUAGUAGGAAUAUUGAAUGCAAAAUCAAUGGACCAAUAAGUUGAAACAAGCAAACCAAAAAUUGAGACAACUGAACUGAACCAAGAAAAUAUUUUAGAUAUUUAACCCACAUCAUUCAAUUUUAAUCCAAUUACUGGGAACACGGAACGCAAAACAUUUGCAACUGCAAUUGAAAAUACAUCAACCGAAAAAUGGAGAAACCACAACCGAAAAUAGUGAUCCACUUAACCAAAAAAAAAUUCUAAAAAACCUAGUAUGUAACCUUAUUAACUGGAAAUUUGACGACCGAAUAGGAAUAAUUAACGUAAAACUAGAGAAAACGUUAGUUCAAACACAUUAACCAUUAAAAAACCUGAUAUGUAACCUUAUUAACUGGUAAUUUGAAGAUGGAAUAUGAAUAAUUAACGUAAAACUAGAGAAAACGUUACUUGAAAUGCAUUAACCAUUAAUAGGGAACUUAGAACGAAAACUUGGAACAGAUCGAACGAAAAAUUCAAAUUACUUGGAAUAUGACAUUAUAUAUUGCUACUCGACGAACUUAGUAGGAAUACCGAACGCAAAAUUUUCGAAUUAAUAAGUUAAAACUAUGAACAAAAAAAUGAAACAUAUUAACCAAAAACCGAGACAAUCAAACCAAGAUAUAGGUUAAUGAUAUUUAACGCACGUAGUUGAAAUUUUACCGAAUUAACUAAAAUCAAGAACGCAAAGCCUAUGAAACUACAAUUGAAAUACAACAACCAAAAAUGGAGAAAGACCAACCAAAAUUGGUUACCAACGUAACCAAAAUAAAUUCCUACUAACCUCUAACCUGCUACUUAACCUUCAGAACUGGAAUUUAAACGUAUUAGUUGGAAUAUUUAACGUAAAACACAGGAGAAAACUUUAAUUGAAACACACUAACCAUUAAAAGAGAAAGUAGAACGUGAACUUGGAACGAUCCAACGAAAAAUUCAAAAUGACUUGGAAUAUCACAACAGAUUUUGGUACCUGACGAACUUACUACGAAUAUUAAACGCAAAAUAAUUGAACCAAUAAGUUGAAACAUGUUAACAAAAAUGUGAGAAUUAUUUACCCCAAACCGAGACAAAUCAAACCAAGAAAAAUAUUAAUGAUAUUUAACCCAUGCAAUUGAAAUUUCGGCAAAUUAACUGAAAUCCAGAACGUAAAACCUAUGAAAUUUUAAUUGAAAUAUGGCAACCACAAUUGGAGAAAGAGCAACCAAAAUUGGUGAUCCACAUAACCAAAAUAAAUUUCUAAAACCCAAACCUGGUACCAAACCUUAAUAACUGGAAUCUCAACGAGUUAAUUGGAAUAUUUAACGUAAAAUUUGAGAUAAUAUUAGUUGAAAUAUAUGAACGAUUGAGGGAGAAAGUAGAACGCAAAGUUGGAACAUAUCCAACAAAAAAUUCAAAUGACUUGGAAUCUAACAACAAAUAUUGGUACUUGAUGAAUUUACCGGAAAUAGCGAACGCAAAAUUAGUGAACCGAUAAGUUGAAACAUGUUAACCAAAAAGUGAAAAUUAUGAACCAAAACCGACACAAAUCACACCAAGAAAAUUGUUAAUGAUAUUUAACCAAAAUAUUUAUAAAUUUGCCGAAUUAACUGGAAUAAGGAACGCAAACCCUGUGAAACAAUAAUUGAAAUACAGCAACCAAAAAUGGAGAAAGACCAAUCAAAAUUGGUUACCAACGUAACCAAAAUAAAUAUCUACAAACCAAACCUGGUACUUAACCUUGGGAACUGGAAUUUAAACGAGUUAAUUGGAAUAUUUAAUGUAAAAUAGGAGAAAACGUUAGCUGAAACCCACUAACCAUUAAAAGAGAAAGUUGAACACGAACUUGGAACAAAAAAUUCAAAAUGACUUGAAAUAUCACAACAGAUGUUGGCACCUGACGAAGUUACUAGGAAUAUUAAACGUAAAAUCAGUGAAUCAAUAAGUUGAAACAUGUUAACAAAAAUGUGAGAAUUAUUUACCUCAAACCGAGACAAAUCAAACCAAGAAAAAUGUUAAUGAUAUUUAACCCAUGCAAUUGAAAUUUCAGCAAAUUAACUGAAAUCCAGAACGUAAAACCUGUGAAAUUUUAAUUGAAAUACGGCAACCACCAUUGGAGAAAGAGCAACCAAAAUUGGUGAUUUACAUAACCAAAAUAAAUUUCUAGAAACCAAACUUGGUACCAAACCUUAAUAACUGAAAUCGCAACUAUUUAAUUGGAAUAUUUAACGUAAAACUUGAGAUAAUUUAGUUGAAAUAUAUGAACCAUUAAGAGAGAAAGUAGAACGAAAACUUGGAACAUAUCCAACGAAAAAUUCAAAUGACUUGGAAUCUAACAACAAAUAUUGGUACUUGAUGAAUUUAGCGGAAAUAACGAACGCAAAAGUAAGGACCAAUAAGUUGAAAAAUAUGAAGCUAUUAAUGGAGAAGCAUUACCAAAACUUGGAACUGAUCAAACAAAAAAAUUAAUAUCGUUAUCUAACCUAUAAAAUUGGAAGCUUCACAAAUUAGUUGAAAUGUUAGACGUACAACUAGUGAAAUAAUAGUUGAAAUAUUGAAACCAAAUGUGGAGAAAUUUUUACCCAUUUUUUAAAUUAAUCUAACAAGAAAUGGUUUUAUUUCGAAUUUAACCCAAAAUAUGCGUAUUGUACGACUUUAGUGGGAAUACUCAACGUAAAACUAGUGGAUCAAAAAGUGGAGAUAAGCAAACUAAUUUGUGAGAAAGUGUAAUCAAAAUUAGGUACGUGUUAAAUUAACUUGGAAUGUCACCAAAUAUAUUGAUAUUUAACCAAAAAAAUCGAGACAUACUUAUUUUAAUUGUUUUAACUUUUAUUCAAGCAAAAUAUAAUUUUUUUCCCCUUAAAUAUUGUUUGUGUUCAAUAUUUACUAAUUUUCCUUGACUUUUUCCAUUUUAUUUUUAUUUUUUCCGCAUUAAAAAAUUUGUUUUUUAAAUUAUUAAAUGAACAACCGGUAAAAUACCGGUUGUUCAAGUUUCCUUAUUACUGUUGAGCGGCUGUAUCACAAACAGCACUGUAUUAUAGGAAGACUCUAGAAACGCAUAUGAAACGAUGUACAAUUGUAGGUGAUCAAAAAUUAAAAAGAACAAGGGAUGUAUUCGGAAUGUUGGUACGGUGAUUUUAGCAUCGCCAGAUAUAGAAAUUGGGCUAAAAAGGGGGUUCCCUUAAUCGAAUCACGUGCUUCCCACGUGCGAUCGCGUCUUCGUCUCUUCCUCACUAACCAUGAUUAUAUUCAACAAUGAUUGAAGCAUACACAUAUUAAAUGCUCCAGGAGCACCCAACAAAUUUUCCCUCUCAAGCUCGGCAUGUCCGCUAAAUCAACUAAGAUGAAAAUCACAGACACAAGGACUUAACGGAAAAGCUCACCUGAAACUCAUAAAAAGCUUUCAUUUUUUUCAUAAUUUUUUUUAAAUUAUCCAAUAAAACAAAUAUAAAUGAAGCUUAUUUUCUCACUUCUCGUUCUUUAUCUCAAUUUCUCUUCUGUUCUCACGAGAGGAGCCGAGCGUAGUUUAUUCUCCACUUCGUUUUCAGGUCGUCUUCUUCAUUUGAUCUAAUGAAUUACGCGGGAGCUAAUCACGUUUCAUAUUUUUUUUUUCACCUGUCGUUGACCUCUCUCUUUACUCUUCAUUUGACUUCCAUUUUACAACUACUGAUCUUUGAUUAAUUCUGAUUUUUCAGGUUCUACGAGACAUUUAUUUGAAGGCAAUCCCUCAGAAACUAGGUAUUAAUAAUUGUAAUAAUUAUAAUUAUCUAUUAGUUUCAGCUUGUGUAUCAAUUUUUAUUUUUAUUUUUUGUUAAUUAAGUUGUUGGUGACUCAGCUUUGAUAAGGCUAAAGGCUAUAUGACUAAUGCUGAAUUAGAGAAAGCUGUGAAGGAGUUCGGGCGAAGAUGCAGUAACAUUUCUAGGAUUUACAGGUAUUAUUUUUAAAUUUUUUUAAUGUAUUUUGGAUAUAUGUUUGUGAUUGAGUUGUUGUUAAUUUUAAUUCACGGUUGAUGUGGAGCACAAUCACUGACUCUCGAUUGUAAGUGGGUUUCGUGGUUAGUAAAUUAGCUGCCAAGUAUAAUCGUGUGUUUAUUAAACAGUAUAGCUGUUGUGCCUUCAAAGUUCAAGAGUAUGAUUGUGAGAUAAUGAAUGUUUCAUGUGAUUAUUGGUAUUAAUUUGUUCUUCAUUUCUCUCUUUGAGGGGUUUUUGGAUUGGAUGUUUAGCAUUGGAAAGAGUGUCGGUGGAUUUCCGUUGGUAAUAACAAACCCUUCUGCUGUUUAGAGUUGUAUAUUUAAUGCCAAAAAUUGCAUCUAAGUUGGUAAUUUUUUCCCUUCAUGUAUUUGCUGUAGUGGGUGAUUGAGAUUUCGGACAAACCUGGGGUGGAAGAGCCAGAACCUGCAUUCAAGGUGAAUGAAAUAUGUCAUUUACAUGAAAGGCUUGUGAUAAACUUGGUUUGGGUGGAAGAACAGUUUGGUUUUGAAUUCUCUUGGUUGUUAGUUUUAUUAUUCUUGCUGUUUUAUUUUCUGCUUGGAGUGCUAGUGAAUUCUUUCUGUUUUCUUACUUUAUCAAUGCUUUAGUUAUUCACUGUUGCUUGCCCCCCCUUUUUUUUUUUAAAGUUCUUAAAGUUAAAAUACUAUGAUGUAAAGAUGUCUUAUGAGGAAAACUACAUAAUAAGCCUCGUACAAAUUAUCCAAUGAGGAGGACAAUGUCUUUUAAUAUGUAUUUUGAGAAUACUGUUGUUUUAAGUUCUUUUUUGCGCAAUAUUAUCUACUUUGUAGCAUUCAUAAUCAUAAUUUAUUUUUUUCUGACAGCUGGUUUUGAGAAAUUCUUGUAAUCUAAUUUUUGGAUACUUGAUACUAAUAUGCUGAUAUUGCAGUUCAUUGGAAAUGUACAUGGGGAUGAACCUGUUGGUCGUGAGCUUCUGAUACUUCUCGCAAACUGGAUAUGUGAUAACCAUGUGAAGGAUUCUUUGGUGUGCCUUUAUUCUUUUUAACUUAACUUGAUUUUACUUCUUCUUUUUCUUGACUGACAUGGAAAAUUAUAAUGUGCUUUAUCCGCUGUUAUUUUGCAUGGGAUCUUAAUUAUCAUGUGCUUUAUCUGCAGCUUGGGUGCCACAUUUGACUGCUUUCUUGUUCUAAACUGUUAUUUACUUGCUAGCCACUUCUUUGUAGUUCCACAGUCACAAAUGAUUAUUUCAUAGACUCCUAGAUUUUGUGUCCAAAUGAUUAUCUUAUCCUGGAAUAUUCUUUGGUCUGUACAGGCUAGGUUGAUCGUGGAAAACAUGCACCUUCAUAUACUUCCGUCAAUGAAUCCUGAUGGGUAUGCACUCAAGAGACGUGGUAAUGCAAACAAUAUUGAUCUAAAUCGUGAUUUUCCAGACCAGGUGAUUUCUUGGAAAUUUGGUUUUCCACAGUAUUUGGACAUUUCAUAGCUAUUUUUAUUGCUAGAUUUAUUUGGUUUUCUCUUUUUUGUCUGAUAGUGAAAAGGGAUUUCUGGAUUUGUAUGGUUUACUCUUUAAAAAUUUGAAUAAUACCAUGUUACAGUUCUUUCCUAUGAAUAAUGAUGAGGAGGCAUGUCAACCUGAAACAAGAGCAAUUAUGAGUUGGGUGCGAC